AAGUCGUAACAAGGUUUCCGUAGGUGAACCUGCGGAAGGAUCAUUACAGAAUAAACUUGAUGGAUUGUAGCUGGCUCUCUCGGGAGUAUGUGCACCUCCGUCAUCUUUAUAUUUCCACCUGUGCACCCUUUGUAGUUUUGAGGAUCUUUGCGCCUUCACAGGCCGUGUCGUUUUGGGGCUGCUGGCGCAAGCUGGCUUUCCCUUGGACGAGGGUUCUCAGUUCUACGUCUUAUCUAUCUAUACACGCAUGUCAAAGAAUGAAACAUCAAGGCCAUAAAACAGCCUAUAUAAACAUUAUACAACUUUCAGCAACGGAUCUCUUGGCUCUC
This 329-nucleotide unclassified non-coding RNA is filed under the name air metagenome. RNAcentral's name for it is "partial contains small subunit ribosomal RNA, internal transcribed spacer 1, and 5.8S ribosomal RNA". The stretch from base 1 to 46 matches the Rfam family "Eukaryotic small subunit ribosomal RNA", at positions 1786 to 1831 of the family's 1831-position model. The record is from RNAcentral.